This is a non-coding RNA of Paramuricea clavata, 377 nucleotides long. The record is from the annotation of a GenBank genome assembly. NCBI's taxonomy places the organism in Eukaryota, Metazoa, Cnidaria, Anthozoa, Malacalcyonacea, Plexauridae.
UAUAAAUCACAUGCCAACAGGGGCGUAGGAAGCGGGGGGGCACGGGGGGCACGUGCCCCCCAAAUUUUUUUAAAGGACUAAAAGUGCCCUUUUUUGUGAUAAAAAGUGCCCUUUUUGUGUUGAAAAGUGCCCUUUUUUGUGAGGAAAAGUGCCCCUUUUGUAGAAGCUAAUGUCGCUGUAAAUACUAAAUUAAAACAAUAGGUGCCGUUUUUGUGUGGAAAUUUACAAUUUUUUUUUAAAAAUUAGAUCACAAACAUAAAUUUCGGUAUGAUACGACAACAUUUCCGGGAAAAAUUUUUUAGGUGCCCUUUCCGAUAGUAAUGUGCCCCUACAAGCCGGUGCCCCCCAAACUCCAGGUGCUUCCUACGCCCCUGCAU